RNAcentral lists this long non-coding RNA (245 nucleotides) under Brassica napus (rape). Its description in RNAcentral is "long non-coding RNA (BNAP_LNC024981)". The record is from RNAcentral. Lineage: Eukaryota; Viridiplantae; Streptophyta; Magnoliopsida; Brassicales; Brassicaceae.
GUAUAGCCUACAGUCGAAAGUCAUAUGAUAAAUUCUUCGUAACGAAACUCAGUCCUAACAACCAAAUGGUUAAAAGAAGAUCUAAACUUUUCGAAAAUUGACCGAGUUCAAUACGCUCCACAAUUCACUUUAAGCCCACAACGUUUUACCCAUAAUACGCGGCAUGUAAGGAAAGAUUCGUAACAAAGCUUCUAGAGCUAUACGAAACUUCCUUAAAAAUGCACGAAAUAGAUCUCGGAAAGCCA